UGUCCGGAUUUACUGGGUGUAAAGGGUGCGUAGGCGGCUUUGCAAGUCAGAUGUGAAAUCUAUGGGCUCAACCCAUAAACUGCAUUUGAAACUGUAGAGCUUGAGUGAAGUAGAGGCAGGCGGAAUUCCCCGUGUAGCGGUGAAAUGCGUAGAGAUGGGGAGGAACACCAGUGGCGAAGGCGGCCUGCUGGGCUUUAACUGACGCUGAGGCCCGAAAGCGUGGGUA
Molecule: ribosomal RNA, 226 nt
Filed under: uncultured bacterium
Lineage: Bacteria
Description: partial 16S ribosomal RNA
Rfam family: Bacterial small subunit ribosomal RNA
Source: RNAcentral